This 254-nucleotide ribosomal RNA is filed under the name uncultured bacterium. Its description in RNAcentral is "partial 16S ribosomal RNA". It matches the Rfam family "Bacterial small subunit ribosomal RNA", at positions 524 to 776 of the family's 1533-position model. The record is from RNAcentral.
UACGUAGGGGGCUAGCGUUGUCCGGAUUUAUUGGGCGUAAAGAGCUCGUAGGUGGUUCGGUUAGUCGGAUGUGAAAUCUCCAGGCUCAACCUGGAGGGGUCAUUCGAUACUGCCGUGACUAGAGUUCGGUAGAGGAGUGUGGAAUUCCUGGUGGAGCGGUGAAAUGCGCAGAUAUCAGGAGGAACACCGAUGGCGAAGGCAGGUCUCUGGGCCACUACUGACGCUGAGAAGCGAAAGCAUGGGGAGCGAACAGG